Molecule: long non-coding RNA, 652 nt
Filed under: Piliocolobus tephrosceles (Ugandan red Colobus)
Lineage: Eukaryota; Metazoa; Chordata; Mammalia; Primates; Cercopithecidae
Description: lncRNA (ENSPTEG00000034158.1)
Source: RNAcentral
GGCUGACGCCUGGGAUGAAUUAGGGCCCCUUUAGGUCUCUGUUCUUUUCCUCUUCGCACCACCCUUCGCAAUGGCCAGCAUGAGGUGCCCAGCCCAGGUCCCCACUGCUGACUAGAACAGAUCCUUUCUGCCAGGAGGGGGAUGUCCCAAAGAGUCCCAGAAUCCUGCACGUUUCCCUAGGGGCUUUCUCACUUCCCGGAGGCUGGGACGGAAAUGGUGGCGGCGCUCCUCCAAGCUUCUUGUGACCUCACAGUGCCUCUCAGUGGUCACACAGCACACUGCAAGCCGAGGCAUGUGCUGUGAGGACUGGGGACACCUCAGGAUGUAGUGCAGAGGCUGAAGCUGUCACUGACCCACUGCUGGUGCCUCCCUUUGACUUCCGAUGCCCUCUGUCUGCAGAUGGGAUUAGUCUGUUUCUUCCCAGGUCACAACUGUGCUUCUCCCCGCCUCUCCAACUGCCUGGAUUGCUUCCAUCCUUCCUUCCCAGCUGACCCCUCUCCAGAGAAGAUCGAAGUCAUUACCUUUCAGCAGCGAGAUCACCUCCCAACCAUUGUGGACACUUUCAAAAUAACGUGAAACACUGAUGGACAGUGGAAGAGGUUAGGAGAAGGAGCAUACAGAAGUCACGUCACUUCCCUGAGUAAAGGCAGCC